RNAcentral lists this long non-coding RNA (1004 nucleotides) under Mus musculus (house mouse). Its description in RNAcentral is "long non-coding RNA chr5:111393708-111394712". The record is from RNAcentral. Lineage: Eukaryota; Metazoa; Chordata; Mammalia; Rodentia; Muridae.
UUGGUCACCCUGUUACAAGAGUAUAGCAGUUUUCAUCUAAAGACAGAUGUAAACACUGGGCCAUUGUAUAGGAGCCAGGCAGUGCUGUAACCUGAAGCCAGUCUCACAGGGAGAACUCAAAGUGUUCUUUCCAUACAGUGCUCCGUUCUCCCCAGACUGCCAUGGACAGGUACAUCCAGGCAUAUUGAGCUUGCUGCAGCCAAAGACGCUUUCCCAAAGGUGUGCAUGUAUGCCUGGCCCUCUGGCAGCAGCCUGCAAUGUUCCCACCGGUUCAUUCUUGCCACUCACCCCCAGGCUCCACCCACAAUGGCCUCACGCCAGAUUCUGAGACCAGGUCUGCUUUGAAUGACUGGAACAGAGCAGCCCAGGAUUUAACCCAUUCCUGGCUUGAGUGCCUCCUGCCGUUAACCAUUUCCUCCCCCCUGCCUGUGGCUCGAGUGACCCAACAACAGCCUCUCAACUCUCUCCCAUUUUGCGAGGAAACAUUUCUGCUUUAUGACUGCAUGUGCUUUCUCGUCUCUCCCGUUAUCUUAAUGAAUUAACUGGGUGCCCAUUGCUCCCUGGCCCCCCCACGGUUUACGAGCUGUUCAGCGAUCACUGCGAUCUUCGUCAGCUUCACACAGUUGUUGUACCGGUUCCUAUUACAGUAAUUGGCAUGAACUUUAUUCUUUUGCAGAGAGAUUCUUUGGCCCGCUGAGACUGCAUAACCAUCUGCCAUAAAUUGAGACUAGUACGGCUUAUUUUGGUGAAUGCAAAAUUGGAUCCCAUUCUUUACUCUGUGGCUUGAUUCAACUUCCAGAUGGUUAAUCCACAUGAAGUAAUAGGAAUGCACCACAGCUCUGCUUAGCUGAAGAUGGAGACGUAAUAUUUAUUUGCUGAUGUGGAGGCCUCCAAACGCUGCCCUGUCGGGAUGUCAAUAUAUAACACGGCAGCACAGAAAUGUCAGCUUGUUCUGCAGGAACGACAGGCUCCCCUGAGUUGCCAUGGGGGGACCCCUGGGUGCC